Molecule: long non-coding RNA, 216 nt
Filed under: Gallus gallus (chicken)
Lineage: Eukaryota; Metazoa; Chordata; Aves; Galliformes; Phasianidae
Source: RNAcentral
CGGGGAGAGUGACAGCUCCCCCUCCCCGUCUGGCAGUGACAGAUGACCUUGCAGGGACAGCAGCCCUGGGCCUCCCCACAGACAUGAGCUGAUAUGAUGGGCUAGACUGGACAUGCCGCGCUGGGAACGUAGGAGCAAAAUUUAGACUGAAAGAAACAUUUGACUCCAACAAAUAGCUGCUUGUUUGCAAAGACCUUCAUAGAUUAUUAAACCAAA